Molecule: ribosomal RNA, 381 nt
Filed under: uncultured bacterium
Lineage: Bacteria
Description: bacterial SSU rRNA
Rfam family: Bacterial small subunit ribosomal RNA
Source: RNAcentral
CAGGUGGGGAUAACGUAGACGAAAGUUACGCUAAUACCGCAUAUUCUGUGAGUCAGGAAAGCAGGGGGAUCGCAAGACCUUGCGCUGAUUGAGCGGCCGAUAUCAGAUUAGCUAGUUGGUGAGGUAAAGGCUCACCAAGGCGACGAUCUGUAGCGGGUCUGAGAGGAUGAUCCGCCACACUGGAACUGAGACACGGUCCAGACUCCUACGGGAGGCAGCAGUGGGGAAUUUUGGACAAUGGGCGCAAGCCUGAUCCAGCCAUGCCGCGUGAGUGAAGAAGGCCUUCGGGUUGUAAAGCUCUUUCGGCCGGGAAGAAAUCGCACAGGUUAAUACCCUGUGUGGAUGACGGUACCGGAAUAAGAAGCACCGGCUAACUACGUG